UGAGGAAUAUUGGUCAAUGGGCGGAAGCCUGAACCAGCCAAGUCGCGUGAGGGAAGACGGUCCUACGGAUUGUAAACCUCUUUAGCCGGGGAGUAAAGUGCGUGACGGGUCACGCAUUGAGAGUACCCGGAGAAUAAGCAUCGGCUAACUCCGUGCCAGCAGCCGCGGUAAUACGGAGGAUGCGGGCGUUAUCCGGAUUUAUGGGUUUAAAGGGUGCGCAGGCGGCUCGUCAAGUCAGCGGUGAAAGCCCGGGGCUCAACCCCGGUAAGCCGUUGAAACUGGCAAGCUGGAGUUCGGGCGAGGCAGGCGGAAUGCGCGGUGUAGCGGUGAAAUGCAUAGAUAUGACGAAGAACUCCGAUUGCGAAGGCAGCUGACGGGAGCGUUACUGACGCUUAAGCUCGAAAGU
Molecule: ribosomal RNA, 406 nt
Filed under: uncultured Porphyromonadaceae bacterium
Lineage: Bacteria; Pseudomonadati; Bacteroidota; Bacteroidia; Bacteroidales; Porphyromonadaceae
Description: bacterial SSU rRNA
Rfam family: Bacterial small subunit ribosomal RNA
Source: RNAcentral